This is a long non-coding RNA of Mustela erminea (ermine), 977 nucleotides long. RefSeq lists it as uncharacterized. NCBI's taxonomy places the organism in Eukaryota, Metazoa, Chordata, Mammalia, Carnivora, Mustelidae. The record is from RefSeq and is a predicted model, not a curated record. The transcript is spliced from 3 exons.
GGCCAUCUCGGUGUCUUCUUGAUUUUAAUAAAUUUUUAGAUCUUAUCUUAUUCUAUUAACUUUUUUUAGUAUCCCUCCAUAUUUCACUGUGUAAGAAAAUGACAUUAAUGCCUUCUACUCUUGUCUUCACCUCUUUCUUUUCUUCCAAUUCCUAUUUUGUAUCAACUAUUUAUUUUUACAUAGCUGAGACUGAUAACAUUCAAUUCUGUACUAUAACCAUAAUUAAACCUUCCAAACUUUUGAUUUGAAAAGUUAAAAACCAAUAAAUACUCUUGAUAUUAUUUUGACAACAUAAAUUUUUUUUUAACCACAGAGCUGACCAGGAGGGUAAGAUUUUAUUCCUUUUUUUUUCUUUUUAACUUUAGUCCAGUUGUCUUUGCCCCUAGGCACCUAAAAGGAGAUAUUCUUGGCCUCUAGAACAAAGGUUUGUCUUUUCUUAUGGUGCAUUAGUUCCAUAAAAUCUUGUCACAUUUUAGAUGCUUCAUAUUUGGGCCAUAAUGUUCUCUUGGAUUGAUCUGGAUUUUUAAAAAAAUUUCAAAUUGUCUCUUCUUUUCUCCUUGAAAAAGCAGAGUCAGCCUUUAAUAUAUCUUGAAGAUCAAUACUAUCACUUGGAAUCCACUUUUCUUAACCCCUAGGAGCCUUCUAUUCCAGUUUUAACUGUCAUUCCUUAACUAUGCUACAAAUUCAUCCUCAAGAAUAUUUCUCCAUUGCACUCUUAAAGACACUGUUUUCUUGGUUUCCUCCCUCAUUUUGCUAACGAACAUACAAAUUAACUUCACCAAGCGGAAGUUGUGUGAGUGUGGGAGGCUCUCAGGACACCUACAUUUGGGUGAAAAACAUGUUUGUGUUUUGCACUCACACUGGGUUGAUAUUUGGCUGGAUAAGAAUUCUAUGUUUGCAGUAACUUUCCCUUAGGAGUUUAAAGAUAAUGCUUCUCUAUCUACUUGUAUUAUAUUGGGUCUGUCAUCAAAACAGUG